GAUGAACGCUGGCGGCGUGCUUAACACAUGCAAGUCGAACGGGAAACAUUUUAUUGAAGCUUCGGCGGAUUUAGCUUGUUUCUAGUGGCGGACGGGUGAGUAACGCGUGGGUAACCUGCCUUAUACCGGGGGAUAACAGCCAGAAAUGGCUGCUAAUACCGCAUAAGCGCACGGAGCCGCAUGGCUCUGUGUGAAAAACUCCGGUGGUGUAAGAUGGACCCGCGUUGGAUUGGCUAGUUGGCAGGGCAGCGGCCUACCAAGGCGACGAUCCAUAGCCGGCCUGAGAGGGUGAACGGCCACAUUGGGACUGAGACACGGCCCAGACUCCUACGGGAGGCAGCAGUGGGGAAUAUUGCACAAUGGGGGAAACCCUGAUGCAGCGACGCCGCGUGAAGGAAGAAGUAUCUCGGUAUGUAAACUUCUAUCAGCAGGGAAGAUAAUGACGGUACCUGACUAAGAAGCCCCGGCUAACUACGUGCCAGCAGCCGCGGUAA
Molecule: ribosomal RNA, 494 nt
Filed under: uncultured bacterium
Lineage: Bacteria
Description: partial 16S ribosomal RNA
Rfam family: Bacterial small subunit ribosomal RNA
Source: RNAcentral